GACGAACGCUGGCGGCGUGCUUAACACAUGCAAGUCGAACGGAAAGGCCCUGCUUUUGUGGGGUGCUCGAGUGGCGAACGGGUGAGUAACACGUGAGUAACCUGCCCUUGACUUUGGGAUAACUUCAGGAAACUGGGGCUAAUACCGGAUAGGAGCUCCUGCUGCAUGGUGGGGGUUGGAAAGUUUCGGCGGUUGGGGAUGGACUCGCGGCUUAUCAGCUUGUUGGUGGGGUAGUGGCUUACCAAGGCUUUGACGGGUAGCCGGCCUGAGAGGGUGACCGGCCACGUUGGGACUGAGAUACGGCCCAGACUCCUACGGGAGGCAGCGGUGGGGAAUAGUGCACAAUGGGCGGAAGCCUGGUGCAGCAACGCCGCGUGCGGGAAGACGGCCUGCGGGUUGUAAACCGCUGUCGCCUGUGACGAAGCGUGAGUGACGGUAAUGGGUAAAGAAGCACCGGCUAACUACGUG
RNAcentral lists this ribosomal RNA (468 nucleotides) under uncultured bacterium. RNAcentral describes it as "partial 16S ribosomal RNA". It matches the Rfam family "Bacterial small subunit ribosomal RNA", at positions 28 to 507 of the family's 1533-position model. The record is from RNAcentral.